RNAcentral lists this long non-coding RNA (281 nucleotides) under Solanum tuberosum (potato). Its description in RNAcentral is "long non-coding RNA (STUB_LNC000904)". Lineage: Eukaryota; Viridiplantae; Streptophyta; Magnoliopsida; Solanales; Solanaceae. The record is from RNAcentral.
GCAAACCUCAUUUUCCCUGCGGGAUUUAGCAGCUUGUUUGAGGAAAGCAUUGAAGUCAUUGAGAUCUCGGAGUAGAUUUUCAACUUCGCCUUUGAUUCCGAGAAUCAAAUCGGCGUUGUCGAUUAGUAAUUGCAUCAAAUUUUCUACUAAAAACUUUACUGCUACAUCCGCCAUUGUUGCAGCUCGAGCUUGCUGGUUUUGGGGAGUUGUUGACUCAGAAAGUAGUAAAGUGACGACUAAUAAUUGGGAAUUUUAUUAGUAAUUGAUUGGGGCUUUUAGAA